GCCUGGCUAGCUCAAUCAGCAGAGUGUGAGACACUUAAUCUCAAGGUUGCAGGUUCUACCCCUUGUUGGGCU
Non-coding RNA from Massospora cicadina, 72 nucleotides. NCBI's taxonomy places the organism in Eukaryota, Fungi, Entomophthoromycota, Entomophthoromycetes, Entomophthorales, Entomophthoraceae. The record is from the annotation of a GenBank genome assembly.